GUUCCUACGGAUGUGGACCUUGAGCAUCAGCUGGGCAGAAUGAAGUGAGACAGAAGCUGUCUCCUCGCUGAGUCUGGCAGCCAAAGAGGCUCAGGGGCCCGGAGUGCUUCCGUGAAAGCCUGUUGGAAGUUUUCAGAACUGCAGCCCACGGCCUAGCGACUGCAGCUCUGAAGGACCCAGGAUGAACCUCAUGGGAAACCUCUUGGACCUCACCUUGCAGAUUCUACCAACUUUGCUACUAGGCUGUAACCUUGAUGAAUGGAAAAGGUUUGACCCUGACAAUUUAAAAAAGGAACAGCUUUAUCUACUAUUGCAACAUGACUUGUGUUCAGUAUGAACUGGGAAAUGGUGAAGGAUGGGUAUGGGGUGGCACUUUAAGUUAUGAGACUAGUCUUUAGUUAUAGUGUUUCUGCUUGAAACAUAAGAGGUGGAAUGAAAAUCCCCUUUGUUCAAGCCUUUGUGACCUUUUGUCACAAGGAAGACCUAGAAACUAUGGUUCUCAGUGUUGGUCUCAGCUGCUGACAUAUUGAACAUUCAGCAGUGGCUGUAACCAGAUCACCCUUUGUGGGUGGAAGUCCAUGUUGCUGAGUUCCUAUGUAACCUUCAUCCGUGCCACCAUGGCCACUUUGUUCAUGAGCCCAUUGAGCAGUGAUGGGGCUGGCUGAAGAAAAAGAUUGACUGUUAUCCACAGAACGGGUCAUCCUAUCCACUGGAUUAUUUAAGUCUUCUUCUGCUGAGAUCACCUUUGGUGAGCAUUUAUGUGGAACACAAAUAUCUUUAUGUUCUUUGUCUAAAUGGAGAGGUCUAGUCAUAUACCUCAUUCCCAAAUAUCUUUGUCACCAGUUUUCUAGUCACGUUCCUUCCAAGUCCCUGACCAUCUGGCCAGACCAUUGGCUACAGCCCAUGAAUCAGUAUAUAGUUGCACAUCUGAUCAUUCUUUUCUUCCUAGAAAAAUGUGCAAUCAGGGGCACUGUCUUAAUCUGUGCCCAGUGUGAAGAUUUCUCUUCACUACUGUUCUUCAGGGAAGUCCUGGAAAUGUGAUAGCUGUCCACUUUCAAGUGGUAGCUUCAUAACAUGCAGAGCCAUUUGUAAACCAGGACCUAGUCUUCUCUUCCUGUGCCAAUUGAUCAUGUGAUAUUCCCCAUGAGGCCGUAGGUAUAUGCUGGACAACAAAAGGCAGUAUAGCAGGAGUAGGAACCAUGGGUUUUUGGGCAACUUCUUCAUGUAAGUUACUUGUACUUUUCAAAACUGUUCAGGGUUGAUUGUGUAUUUACUACUUCCAUUUCAUGGUGGACUGUUGCUGUGCAUGUUUAAGUUUAUGACUUGGAGGGUCAGAUAGUACUAUUUCAUGAUGGGCAGCUCAAGUUGCAUGGUAACCUGGUGUCCUAUGGUCAAGCUUUCAGUUUCCACUAAGGCCUAGUACCAGGCGAGGAGCUGGUUUUCAGCAAGAGUACUUGUCUGCAGAUAAUUGCAGAGCCAUGCUCCAAAAUCCUGAAGUUUGCCACUGUGAUUCACCUAUGGGAGCCUUCCAGAGGCUCCAAAUAGCAUCACUGUUUGCCACCAACAUGUUAAGUACCAUUGGAUUAUGAGUCAGUCAGUAAAUGGGCCAGAAUAACACAGAUGAUUAGCAGAAUUAAAGGGUGUAACACACAGAAAAAGUCCCUUGAAUUUUAACAGUCAAGAAGAGUAUCUCUAGACAUUGAGAAAAACCAUACAGGGAGAAAUGUUAGGGAAAAGAAGGACACAUUUAUUAAAUAUCAACUCAAUGGAGCACUUGGCUCGUUUGUUUGUUUUAAGGUCUUGCCAUUGUUUAAAUGGCUAGCUCUACCCUCUCUCUUUUUUUUUUUUGAGAUUGUUUUGUAUUCUGCAACAUCUAUUCUUCUUUUUUUUUCUUUAUUAAAUUCUUUUAUUGGUACACUGUAGGUAUACAACACAAUUACAUUUCUCAUUGGGAAUUGUACCUUUACAUAAUGCAUCUUGGUUCUUAUUUUUCCCCAUUGCUAGCCCUCCCUUCACCCCCUCCUCCCUUCCCUAUUUACAAAGACUUUAGUUCCAUUUUUUCCAUUUCUCAGCAUUUUUCCUUUCCCUUCUUUCCUUUCCCCUGCCCCUCCCACUACCCCUACCCCUUUGGACCUUUGCUUCCUAUUUUGCAUUAUUGAUUAUUCAUUCUAAUCAUUGGUACAUUUUAGGUAUACAAUAGAAUGACAUUCAUCAUUGGAAGUUUGCACCUUUCCAUUGAAAGUCUACCCUCUCUCUUAAGACUUAAGAUUGCAUGUCACUAAGGGGAACAAUUCACAUCUUUGUAAGGAGCAUGGAAAACUCGGUCCUGGGGAUAUACCCACCUUUUCUGGAAUUUUGCAGAGCACUUUCCAUCACUUGUGAUGACCCACUGCUUCUUGCGCCUACAUUCUUACCCAUGUGAAUUCCAUUCUCACCUACUCAAGUCCCAUUUGUCUCUGCCCUCUGACUUUUUUUUGGGGGGGGGGUACCAGGGAUCCAACUCAGGCCCUUGCACUUGUGAGGCAGGUGGUGGCACCACGGAGCCAAAUCCCUGGCCCUGCCCUCUGGCUUCUGAUAAGAGAGCUCCCUGUCUACCGUUUUAUUCAUUUGGAACAGAGUUCUUUGGCUUUACUCACCUUUCCUUUUGCUGCAAGCUUAGCCCCAUGGCUAACAGGCCCCUUCCUGUUUCUGUCUGAAAUAGGGAGCAGUCAGGGCUCUCACCAGGGGAGACCACUCAGAUAUAGCCUUAUAGACACAACUGUGUUGAACCUUCAGAGUUUUGGGUAGUGUGCUCUAGAUAGAAGUUAAGUACCAUUCAAAUGAAAAAAGUGAACUGUUGGGGUUGACAUGUAAUUUUGUGGAUCAAGUCAUGCUGAACCUCCUUCAUUUGUUCCCUCUCUGGAUGCACUCAGGCAGAUCUCACCAGAUAAAGGAGGAGACCAAGUCAGACAACAAGGAAAUUAUCCACAUCAAACCCUCUGUUGCGAGUUCAAAAUGGUUGGAUGCAGUGCUUUUCUUAUAGCAGAAGUACUAUGGGGGAGGGGAGUUGCAUGCCUGCAUUGGUGAGCUAUUAUCAAAAUAAUGCUAUGUAACACGUCGUUCCACAAUUCAGUGAAUUAAAACAAUAAUCUUUUAUCCUGCAUUCAUGGUCCUUUGGGUCACUGACAACUUAGUUGGGCUAGCAUGCUGUUCUAGCCACUACGCUACAGACAGGAUUCAAGUCAGCUCCAAAUAUUUUAUUCUGUGGCUCAUGUCAAAAUGCCAGCAGCUACCUGGAGUAUAUUCUUCUUAUGGUGAGUUAUCAGAACACAAAAGAGCAGCCUAGCCUUACAAGCAUAUUUCAAGCCUUUGUUCAUGUUGUAUAGUACAGCCUAAAGUCAGGAGGUAGAUAUAAUCUACUUUCUAUGAAGCUAUAGUAAGAUGGUAGAUACUUCUACUAAAAGAGAAUGACAAAUUUGGACUAAUAUUUCAAAGUAAUUUGUACCCUAUAAUAAUGUUGACAUAUAUUUCUUCCAGUAAAUUUUUGUUUCUGCUUGGGUUUCUCAAGUAGUCAAAGUAAUGUCUGUAUCACUGGGACCAGAGAAAAUGGGAAGAAUGUUCAAGAAAGGAAGAGCUAGACCAGCGCAUGUUCCAUGAUUCUAAGCCUUUCUAAUUCUCGUAGAGAUGUUGCUAUGUGUGUUCAUGCAUUUUGUAAAGAAAUGCAAAGAAGGACAUGAAAGUUGCAAAAGUGCUUUAGCUUCUAAAAAGAAAGAUCCUCUAAAUCUGAAAGAUAGACCAAUGCUUAAAGCCUUAAAAGCAGUAAAAGGUAUGCAAAUGCUGUUUUUAAUUUUUUUGGCUAAGCAGUGUUUUUAAAAGGAAAAGUAGGUAUCAUUAGCUAAGAUGUUACAAAACUAUCAACUAGAAAUUUUAUUUACAGCUGUCAAGUCCCUUGACUAAUUUACAGAGGUGAAUGGGAGAAGAAAUUGCUGGCUGUACCAAUAUUUUUGGCAAAUUUUGACUUACCCUUUAGUAGCCACUGAUUAACAAAGUUAGCACUAUUAAAGGGUACUAGAAAGGGGAGGGUGGAAAAAGAUUGGUUAACAGGUACAAAGACACAGCUAAAUAGGAGGAAUAAGUUCUGGUGUAUUACUACAUGAAAAAUUAACUAAAGUUAACAAUAUGGAAUCAUAUAUAUCAUAAUGGCUAAAAGAGGAUUUUGAGUAUUCUUAUCAAAAGAAAAGAUAAAUGUUUGAAAUGGUGGGUCACUUAAAUAUUUUAAGUUGAUCACAAUAUUCACAUGUACUGAAAUAUUACAGUGUACCUCAAAAAUACUGUUUGUACAAUUAUUGCCCAUCAAUUACAAUUAACUAAUUAAUUAAAAACCCUAUGACUAUCCCCUAUUAUUGGAGGAAAAUAAAAGAAAAACAAGGAAGCCUGAGAAUGUUAGUGAUGCUAGAAAAUAAGUCUUUCUUUCUUUCUUUCAUUUGUUUGUUUGUUUUCAGGUGUUUUAUAGCAACUACAUGUGGCCCAGAACUUUGGGAUAUUCCUGUCCUGUCUGCAUUCCAGCCGUGUCAAGAUCUUGCUUCUGUUUUUCAUGAAAAGAGCUCUGUGCUGUUUACAUGAGCUGCAGCUUGACCCGCAGCUGUACAACUUUCUUCUUCUAUUGUCUCAGGUCAAGAUGAAUUACAGACAGAGCCUUGACCAUAAAUAUUUAAUGAUUUUUAUCUUCAAAGCAUUGUGCAAGCACACUUAGUCUUAUUUUGAAGUGCUGAGUAGGCAUCUCCGAUCUUCUUUUAUGACAUAGUUUCUUUUUUAAAUGCUAGUCGCACCCUUUAUUCUGAAUCCUUAAUACAAGGCUGAGUUGUCUUUUUAUAAUAGCUUUAUUAAGAUAUAACUCAUAUAAUCAUAAAAUUUACCCUUUUAAAAUGUAGUGCUCAGUGGUUUUUAGUAUUUUUGGAGUUGUGCAACCAUUGCCACUCUCUGAUCUUAGAAUACUGUCUUCAUCACUCUGAAACGAAAUUGAUUUUCAGUAACUCUCCAUUCUGCCUCCCUCACCCUAUCUGACCUAAAGUACCUGUGGCAGACACUAAUCUAUUUUCUGUCUUUAUACCUAUUCUGAACAGUCUCACAUGUUUCUACUUGCCUUCUUUCUCUGCUACCUGCCUCCAUGAGAAGAGCAUCCCAGGGAUUGUCCACUUAUCCCAGAAGGUGAAUGAAAGACACUUGGAAAUGGAACAGAACUUUUCACCUCAGACAAGAGCAACUGCUUCGCAAAUUACUCAGAGUAGCUUGAACUAAAUAAAUCCUUGCUGUUACAUUCCACUGAGCUCUUGUGACCAUUUGUUAUGCAGUGAUAGCUUACUAAUACAAUGGCCAUUGUUAGCAACUCAGUUUUCCAUCUUAUGUUUUCACCAUCCAAGAGAGAUGGGGACAACUAGUGUCUGGUUCCAGCUAAGGGCUCUGAUUGACCCAUCCCUAAUUAUAAGUUAACAGGUUAGCCUGGCAUAGUUUCAUGGAAGUAAGCCAACAAAAUGUGGCCAUGAAGUGACAUGGAAGUGAAGACAUUAUUGUCACUGUUAUGUGAAGGAGUGGGGACAAUUGCUGAGAAAGGAAGGGGUGCUGGACACAUAGAACAUGCAGUCAUGACCUAGGAGGGACAAUGAGGUGCUACCCAAGCAGAGUGCAACUAUGUUCUUGGCACGUUUUACUUAUGUCUGUUCAGUCAUCAGGGAGAGAGCGAGCGAGCGAGAGAGAGAGAGAGAGAGAGGACCGAAUAAUGGUAAUUUUUCCUGGGAUGAAAGUGAAGUGUGUGUGUGUGUGUGUGUGUGUGUGUGUGGCUAUUGGAGAUAAGAAUCUCUGGUUAAAGGGUGGGCAUGGUGGCUCACACGAAUGAUCCCAGCACUGGGGAGGCUGAGGCAGGAGGAUCGCUGCGAGUUUGAGGCCAGCCUGGGCUACACAGUGAGUUCUAGGCCAGCCUGGACUACAUAGUGUGACCCUGUCUCAAAAAACCAAAACCAAAACAAACGAACAACAACAAAUAUCUGCUGUUAACUCGGCCUAAAUUCCAAGUCAUCACUCAAAAGGUUUAAGUCAUUUGCUAUACUGAAUGUGAUUCUAUGUAUUUUUGAACAGCUGUUUAUUUUAAACUAUAUAUAAUAGUAUACAUUGUAUAAUUACUCAUACUUCUUCCUGUAUAAUAUUGCAUUACAAAACCAUAUGUACUAUACUUAAUGGGAAGUUUAAGGAAUUUUCAAGUGCAACUGUCCAUUUCCAUACCUGCAUUAAGAAGCUUUUUCUCAGAAAUUACAUGUGUCUCAGAAGGGUGGAAGACAGGACCUGAGUGAGCAAAUAUUGCUUUUUAUCAUUUGGUGAAACAAAGGCUUAAAGUAGAAAUUAAGUAGAGUUUUGGAAAAAUAUUUUUUAAAUUCAAAUGAGUUUGUGAGUUGAGAUUCACACUACAACUCUACCCUUGUUAGUCUCACAUGUUAUUAUAGAAAAUGCAGUUGAGGUAGAAAGGAAUAUUAGAUGGUAGUGACAAAGAAUGAAUUAGUGCUACACGGAACAGCAGAUGAAUCUUACAAAUAUAAUGUUGAAUGAAAAAGAUUCAUAAGAGCGUUUAGUAUAUGAUCCUGUUUAUAUUAGGUUUCACACCAGGAAAAACUAAUCAAUAAUGUUAGAAAUGUUAGAAUGAGAUAAGGAAACAGAACUUGGGCACUGGCAGGAUACCUGAGACAGUUUUGCAUCCUGGAUUCUCUUCCAGCUGAUUGAGGUCCAUGGGAGACAAGGAUGGAGGUGUCAAAUCAUCCAGAGCAGAACCUGUGUGCCAGUCCCUGGAGACGGUCUAGAAAUUCAGGGGCACUUGGGGACUUGCACACAUCAGAAGAAAUAUCUGAGUAGGUGAGUGUGAGGUAUUGCCACUAAACCCUCUGUGCUGUUCACAGCUGGGUAGGAGCAUCAGAGUAUUCUGGCACAGGUAGCGGUGGCAUGGAUAUGGUCCAGAAGGUUGGCAGCCUUGAAAUGUUUUUGUUUUCUGGGCAAGGAUGGCCCAGCACUGCCCUGCUAGACUCAGUCAUAUUGUGCAGAUGGUGGAUCAGUUGGCCCUGACAAGAUGGCACUUUUAGCCAUCACAGAAUUUUCUGGAGAAGCCAGCUCUUCAUCCUUUCUUUUAGACUUUAAAAUCUUCAUAAAAAUGCUAUGGACCUACAGAGAGUAGUAUAUUUGAGCUCAGGAUUCUAGCAGAAUCAUGGACUUGAAAACAGUCAUGAUUUCUUGCCAUGGAUUACUUCUGCUUCUCCCUGUGUCCUUUCUCUUUGGUAAUGACUGGUUUUUCUCUCCUUCUUAGUCUACAUAGAGGAACAUGCUACCAGCUGGACCAAAGUUUUAAAUGUGAAAAUGCAAAUCCAGGAAAAGAGAUCUAUCCCUCUUCCGAAGCCCAAAGUGAACAUUUUCAAGGGGAUAAGAUUGAUUAGCCUACACUGGGAUGGUGCUCUCUGAAUCGAUAGCUUGUAGCUAGAAGAACAGGAUAAUACUGUACAAACUAUGUGGCUUGAUUUUUUUGACAAGGGGAAGGCAAGAUCUACAAAAGUAGGACAAGUGGUGGGACCAACAAUGUGAGUUCAGGGUGGUCAGUCCUCUUUGGCUUCUUUUCAUGGCUGCUGAGAAAGAAGAUGGAACAGGUUCCCUGAGCCCUCAUCCAAGGAAGUAAGAAUUGAUUACUAGCUUAGCCAUUACUUUACCUUGCUUGCAGACAUGUCCUCCUUUGAACUCUCUUUGUUUUUCUUUAUCUAUCUCCAGCCUGUAGACAAAGAAGCUCUGCUGAGGCUCCCAAGUGAAAGGUGCUGUCCCAUUUUACAAAAGCCUUAGGACCAGUCCUCAGAACACUUUGGUCCUUUGCCAUCCGAGAGCAAGUACACGGAGGUGUCUUGAGGCGUUAAGCGCCAGCUUGCAGAGAUAGUGAGGUAUAUUUUAGAACCCAAACUGCUGUCAGGGAACAUAUGGAUUUUGUUAUUUCCAUCCUAGCAGCUUUCUCUCCAUGGGUUUUGACAUAUGAAUUUCAAAAGGAGGGAGUGUUUUCCUGAUUGACACCUCAGAAAUACUCUUUGUGGCAAAAUCACAAAUAUUUCCAGAUCUUGCUGGGCAUGGAGAUGGCUGAGCUGCUGGAGACAUUCUAUCAGUGUCACUUGACACAGCGUGUGAGGUCAGGCAGGGGUGAACACUGUUGGCUGGACACAAAGGUUGAGCAUUAUCUGCUCUGUGGGGGGACACAUCACACUCAGCCAGCUCAGGAGGGAGACUGACACAUGUGGGUCAUUGCACGGAGUCUUUUCUCCCUGGCAGAGCAAAGCAGGCCUGACAUUCCCGGAAGAAAAUGACACUGAAAGCAGUCAGACAAAGGCCAGGCAAGCAUUACCAAGGCUUUCUGGAAAAAGCUUUCUUCGUGGACUCACGCCAAUCAUUACUUUACUUACCUUAACUAAUUCAUUUCUUGUUUUUGUUCCUUAAUAAAAGAAAGGCAACUGUCAUUUAUUGAAUUUUUUGUGGGCUAGGAUUGGUAGUGUGCAAGAAAUGGCUUGGCCAAGCUCAGGAGAACCAACUGAACAAUUUCCAGGAAUCCUGCAAGAUAACUGUUAAACACAAGCCAUUAUUAAAAAUUAAAUUAUACUAACAUAUAAUUAAACUGUGUUAGAACAGAGGUAAUAAAUACUCAAAACUCAUCACAUUCUAAUUAUUUUACUACAUUGUACUGUUGUGCUCAUGAACUUAUUUGUAUCUACUGCAUCUGUAUGUUGGAAAUACUGUAAAAUAACUUGCUACUGUGCAUCUCUGUGAAAAUUGGCCGUAGUGGGAGGAACUAGCAAAUGUUACAAAUCUGGGCCGGUUUUAAAAAUUGUUUUCAUCCUUCAAGAUAAUGACAACAGUGGAGAAAAUGUUAAUAAUACAGAUUAAAUUAAAAAUGUAUGUUUGUAG
RNAcentral lists this long non-coding RNA (8946 nucleotides) under Heterocephalus glaber (naked mole-rat). RNAcentral describes it as "lncRNA (ENSHGLG00100037516.1)". Lineage: Eukaryota; Metazoa; Chordata; Mammalia; Rodentia; Bathyergidae. The record is from RNAcentral.